This 1343-nucleotide ribosomal RNA is filed under the name uncultured rumen bacterium. RNAcentral's name for it is "bacterial SSU rRNA". It matches the Rfam family "Bacterial small subunit ribosomal RNA", at positions 43 to 1377 of the family's 1533-position model. The record is from RNAcentral.
CAGGCCUAACACAUSCARGUCGAGGGGCAUCACGUGAGGCAGCAAUGCAUCUGGKUGGCGACCGGCGAAUGGGUGAGUAACGAGUAUCCAACCUGGCCCAUACUCGGGCACAGCCCCGCGAAAGCGGGAUUAAUGCCCGAUGCGGCGUAUCUCCCGCAUGGGAAUUACGUCAAAGGUAUAAACUGGUAUGGGAUGGGGAUGCGUCCGAUUAGCUAGACGGCGGGGUAACGGCCCACCGUGGCGAUGAUCGGUAGGGGUUCUGAGAGGAAGGUCCCCCACAUUGGAACUGAGACACGGUCCAAACUCCUACGGGAGGCAGCAGUGAGGAAUAUUGGUCAAUGGCCGCAAGGCUGAACCAGCCAAGUAGCGUGAGGGAUGACCGCCCUAUGGGUCGUAAACCUCUUUUGCACGGGAAUAACCGCACCCACGCGUGGGUGCCUGCAUGUACCGUGCGAAUAAGCAUCGGCUAACUCCGUGCCAGCAGCCGCGGUAAUACGGAGGAUGCGAGCGUUAUCCGGAUUUAUUGGGUUUAAAGGGAGCGCAGGCGGCCGUUUAGGCCAGCCGUGAAAUUUCCGCGCUUAACGCGGUCCUUGCGGUUGGAACCGGAUGGCUUGAGUGGGGUACAGGAAGGCGGAAUUCGUGGUGUAGCGGUGAAAUGCUUAGAUAUCACGAAGAACCCCGAUUGCGAAGGCAGCUGACGAGUCCUUUACUGACGCUAAAGCUCGAAGGUGCGGGUAUCGAACAGGAUUAGAUACCCUGGUAGUCCGCACGGUAAACGAUGGAUGCCCGCUGUCGGCGAUACAAUGUCGGCGGCCAAGCGAAAGCGUUAAGCAUCCCACCUGGGGAGUACGCCGGCAACGGUGAAACUCAAAGGAAUUGACGGGGGCCCGCACAAGCGGAGGAACAUGUGGUUUAAUUCGAUGAUACGCGAGGAACCUUACCCGGGCUUGAACUGCAGGAGAAGGAUACAGAGAUGUUGACGCCCUUCGGGGCUCCUGUGGAGGUGCUGCAUGGUUGUCGUCAGCUCGUGCCGUGAGGUGUCGGCUUAAGUGCCAUAACGAGCGCAACCCCUGCCUACAGUUGCCAUCAGGUCAUGCUGGGCACUCUGUGGGGACUGCCACCGCAAGGUGUGAGGAAGGUGGGGAUGACGUCAAAUCAGCACGGCCCUUACGUCCGGGGCUACACACGUGUUACAAUGGGUGGUACAGAGAGUCAGGUGCUGGCAACAUCACCUUAAUCUACAAAGCCAUCCUCAGUUCGGAUUGGGGUCUGCAACCCGACCCCAUGAAGCUGGAUUCGCUAGUAAUCGCGCAUCAGCCAUGGCGCGGUGAAUACGUUCCCGG